UCUUACCGCUCUUCUUGAGCGUUUCCUCCCAAGACUUCGGGCCGCCUCCUCGCUGGGGCGGCCUCUUUCUGUUUUGUC
This 78-nucleotide small RNA is filed under the name Methylobacterium sp. B4. RNAcentral's name for it is "suhB". It matches the Rfam family "Makes More Granules Regulator RNA (mmgR)". From Rfam's summary of the family: SuhB later renamed mmgR (makes more granules regulator) was a putative non-coding RNA found multiple times in the Agrobacterium tumefaciens genome and related alpha-proteobacteria. Other non-coding RNAs uncovered in the same analysis include: speF, ybhL, metA, and serC. The record is from RNAcentral. Lineage: Bacteria; Pseudomonadati; Pseudomonadota; Alphaproteobacteria; Hyphomicrobiales; Methylobacteriaceae.